This is a long non-coding RNA of Microcebus murinus (gray mouse lemur), 3711 nucleotides long. Lineage: Eukaryota; Metazoa; Chordata; Mammalia; Primates; Cheirogaleidae. The record is from Ensembl.
GUCCAUAUAUGGGGCUCGCUGAGGACUGUACAUAAACAUUGUCAUCAUGUGCGUUAGGUACAGGGGACAAAAUGUUCAGCUGCAUUCUAUUGGACAAAUCACAGUUCUAAACAUAGUAAGAACAACACUACUUUUCUGAAACAGAAAAUCGCCAUUGGCUUCUCAGCAUGGUGGAAAUGACAACUGGAAUCACACAAAGGAAUUUGGGAGGAAAAGAGAAGAUGGUAUUUCAGCUGUGGGUAAGAACCUUUAACAACUCUCUCAUGCUUGCUCACUGCAGAAGAUUCAGCCAUCUGUCAAAGCCCGUCAACACGUGCUUGUCCUCUCUGAAACUUCAUUGGGGAUCAAACUUCAGCAGAGACCUAUGAUUUAGACGUUAAAAAAAAUAUGAUGACUUUUCAACGUGGAGAUGGAAAUCAGAACAACGACAUUGGCAGGAAGAUUUAUUCCUGCCUUUAUGACCUCAAGACCUGGCCCAUCUCUGCCCACCAACCCCAUCACAUCAAGGUAUUAGCAUUUGCGUGACUGGCCCAUUGUUCUGAGCUCUCUUCCCCUUCAGAUUGUGCUGUCUUCCGGGAGGGGCUACCAUUCUCUUUGGUUCUCUUGACCUCAGCCCUGCGGCAGCCUCGGGCUGUGCUCCCGUUAAGUGGUGUCUGUCUGGGAGACGGGAAGGACUUUGAUAAAACACCACUGGUUGGAUUCAGCUCCCUUAGUGAGUGACGGGAGAUAAGAGACCCAGUAAAGACAGACAUUUGGGUGUCAGUGUUUGUGUUUGGGAGAGAAGGAAGUUUAUUUGGAGACUUGAGAAGGAGGCUCUGUUCUUUAUAAAACAACAGAGGGAAGUUUAGCCUUCGCGUAGGCAGCUUCCAUGAGGGAGCAGAUGGGGCUUUCAAGGCGCAGGAAUGUUUCCAGAUGCCACAUGUGCCUUUGGAAGGCAAAGGCCAAGUGCUGCAAUGAGCUGUGUAGGCAACAAGGUUGCCCUGGGACCUCGGGAGCCAUGAUCGUCUCUAAGAAGGCAUAGAGGCUGUCCCUCUCCCCAAGGCCACCCUCAGCCAACACUGCCAACAAGAGCAAAUCAGGCAGAGCUGAGGUCUCAGGAGGACAGCCGGCAGAAAGGGCUGGGGGGUGGGGGGAGGUGAAUCAGACUUAUCUCCUUUGUCCCAGUGCCAGGGCAGAAGGGCAUAGGCUGAGGGCAUGUAAUAGUCUCAACAUGGCCUGAGUGAAUCACCUUCAUCUUCACUCUAGGACUCUGCUUUGUGUUCGCCAAGCAUGAGACCUGAUCAUCGUUCUCUUGGGGUAGCUCUGGAAGAUGCUGCUCGUGUCUGUUAACUCAUUUGUGCACUGAGAUGGACCAUGUUUUGCCCACUUUUUGUGCUAUAUGUCACCUUUCCAUGUUGUCAUGAACUUUCAAGUUCCCAAGCCACUGAAGACUCCCAGCUGAUAUUACCUGUCUAGUGUUGGGGCAGCCAUAAUCCUGUAAUACUCCUCGGGUGGUUUGGGGUGACAGUGAGGGUGUUGGGAGCCUGUGCAUGAGAUCUGGACUCAGGAUAACAUGCCUGGUAUGUGGGAGAGAGAUUUAAGGGUAUGCUCUAUGCUCCUCUUAGUCACUCUCCUUGGCUGGAGGCACACGCACGUGUGUGUGUGUGUGUGUGUGUGUGUGUGUUUGUACAUAUGCGUGUAUGUGUCUACAUAUAGUCUGUUUCUCAUUAUGGUAUUAAGGGAGAAUUCGUGAGGAAUAUGGUAAUGGGUGUUUUUCCUCUGCAAAAUGAAUCUCAACAGUUUAGGAAUGUUAACAAAAAAUAAAAGGGGUUAAGCAUGUGGCUAUGAUAUGAAACGGGCUCUGGAAUUCGUCUGGCUGGUUUGAAUCCCAAUUCUAUCCACUUACCAGCUGUGUGAUGUUUGUUAAGUUGUUUAACUUCCCCAAGCCCCCCAGGUUUUCCAUUUUAAAGAUCAGGUUAAUCAUUGUAUUUACAUUAUAGGGUUAUUGUGAGGCUUAAAUGAGUUAAUCCACAGAAAGUGUUUGGCACAGUGCCCAUCCCAUUGUAAAGGAUUUAUAAAUGUAAGUUACUGCUAUGAUUAAUCAAUAUCUCUAACAGCCUCUCAGUGUUUCAUUAUAGAUGGGCAUCGUAUCUUUGCUGAACUCAUGUAUACUCUCGGCUUCACCAUCGUUUGGAGUAACUGCCCUUCCAGGUGGGUGUUCUUGGGCAGCUGGAGGUCCCUGAGAGCAGCUGUCCUCUUCACAGCCACUGCUCCUCAAUGUCACACUGAACGUCACCUGGCCUGGGGUUGUGGGUGCCUAUCCUCCUCCCGGGCCUCCCUCUAGGUGUGGACUGCUGGCCAAGCUCACCAGAGCUCUCUUUUCUAAAGGAUCGAAUCCACAUCUCUCCAACAUGAUUUCCCUCCAUGAUUUUAAUAAGUUCAUCACCUAAUUGAAAAAGCCACGCAAAUGGCAGGCGAAGCCGUGGGAGAGAACGAGUGUGGGGUGUGGUUGCAAAUGUGUGUGCGUGCAACUGUGCACAUGAGUGUGUUCAUGGCUGCGUGCACCCUCAUGGAGUGAGGUGAAGGAAAAUGAAAACCAUAAAUCCCAUCCUGCUGCUCACAGAGCAUCUUUGGAGUUGGAGUCUAAAGAUUGUAGCUGAACUCUGCCAGUUCAUUCAUUAUUUAAUCCUUUAAUUGAUGACCAUGGAGGAAAGAUGACAGCAGCACAUCCUUGGCAGGGAGGCAAAUUCCAUUUAUUUGUUUAUUACUGUUGCACAAUUCAUCUAGUGGAGAGUGAGUGACGGGAGGCCACCAUGUGUCAAGGUUCCGAAUGUUGUUAUAAAUAACAAUUAAUCCACUUAGAUAUCUGGCCCCACUCAACCUGAAGAAUCCCAUUGGAUAGAAAAGAUUCCAGAGGAGAAUUUUGAGGAGCAAACAGAGCUUUCCAUUUUCUUGGCUCUCUGCUGCUACUCUGGUCAUUCCAAAAGUGCCUGAGGUUUUCUGAGAUGAUGAAUAUUCACGAGUGUUUGUAUCAUCUCUUAACUCCUAUUGUUUUACUGCCAGCAUCCCUUCUUUGGCAGUUAAUCACACAUUACCUCCGGAUGUUUCUUGAAUUGCUACGUUAAGCUGCUAAAUUUUCUAUUAUGCAUUUGUUAUCUAUAUAUUGUCUCCUUAAAAAGACUGUAAACUUCCUUGAAGGCAGGGAUUAUCCCUUAGCAUAGGUACGGGGUGGAUGUUUCCUAACAGAGGAAGUGAAAAUUGAUUGAAUUCCUAUUGUGUCGUGGGACUUGUGCUUAUAGCCUUCGUACACUUUCAGCAAGAGUUGAAUGUGGAGAAAAUGCAGCUAGGAUCGCUCUGUUAAAUUAAGCAAGCAGAAGGCCAUUAGCCCAUGGCGGUCUCCGCACUUAGAGUUCCUGUGCAACAAAUCUCAGCCUAACUUAUUACACAAACAAACUGAAACCUAAUUUAGGAGGUUUUCUUUUACUUGGUAACUAAUAGCAGGGUUUCAGCCAAUCACAAGCAGCCGAGCUUCAGCCAACUGCAGGCAGCCAAUGGAUCAGCUCAUGUCCAAGUAAGGUAAACUAGCUUCAGCCAAUCAGGUGAUUUUGCCACUUCACCUCUGUUUUCAGCCUACAAGAGCCCACUGUCCACACUGCAGAGCUGAGCUCUCCGAACCUCUUCCGUCCUGAGUGCUGCCUGGUUCAAAAUUGUUUUUUGCCCAAAUAAACGCUG